UACGGGGGGAGCAAGCGUUGUUCGGAUUUACUGGGCGUAAAGGGCGCGUAGGCGGCCUCUGCAAGUCAAUUGUGAAAUCUCCGGGCUUAACUCGGAAAGGUCAACUGAUACUGCAGGGCUAGAGUGCGGAAGGGGCAACUGGAAUUCUCGGUGUAGCGGUGAAAUGCGUAGAUAUCGAGAGGAACACCUGCGGCGAAGGCGGGUUGCUGGGCCGACACUGACGCUGAUGCGCGAAAGCCAGGGGAGCGAACGGG
This 254-nucleotide ribosomal RNA is filed under the name uncultured bacterium. Its description in RNAcentral is "partial 16S ribosomal RNA". It matches the Rfam family "Bacterial small subunit ribosomal RNA", at positions 524 to 776 of the family's 1533-position model. The record is from RNAcentral.